Molecule: long non-coding RNA, 1031 nt
Filed under: Cricetulus griseus (Chinese hamster)
Lineage: Eukaryota; Metazoa; Chordata; Mammalia; Rodentia; Cricetidae
Description: lncRNA (ENSCGRG00000024878.1)
Source: RNAcentral
ACACAGAGAAACCCAGUCUCAAAAAACCAAAACGCAAACCGAACCAAACCAAAACAAAAAAGCCUAAAAAAAGCCCCAUCUCUGGCCCAUGUUAUCCUCCUUGCCAGCUUUUAACAUUCAUAGGACUUUGUUACGUAUGGUGUAGGAUUGCUGUCAUUGUGUGAAAACCAUGUAUUUCCUGCCUCAACUUUCCCAGCUGACAAAUGUGUACAGCAAGAAUACCUGCUUUGUUGGUGUUGUGAGGAUGCUGUGAUCUUGUAGAGAGUGUGUCCAUGGUCUCACGCACCGGAUGUGGGAAGAGGCGGCUGACACAGAAGACGCCAGCCCCUCAUCACAGAGACAGAGCACGUGAUACAUCCCAACUCCAGGAAUCCUGUGUGUCCUGGGGAAAGCGCUGGGCUCCUUGGGGUUGUUCACACGUUCCCUAGAACCAACUGCUGACACUCUCGGUUGCAGCUCUGUUAUGGACCAUGUGGGACUGUGAGAAAGUUAGCAACAGCCACAGGUUCCUGAACAUGCGACAUGUGACAGCUCAUGCGUGAUGAACCCCAGGGGGCUCUGGGAGUGUGUGAUUGAGUUAUAUUAUGUGACCUCACUGAAGCUGUGGUUCUGGACACAGAGUGUACUCCUUUUCCCGAUUCUCCUUUGAAAUAAUGAUUUAACUAUGCAAAAAUGAAGACUGCUUCCACCGUCACCCUUCAGUUUGUAUCGUGUUUAUCUGUUUUUGUAUUGUGUUGUUAGAACAUUUGACUUCAAAAAUUGCUGUUUGAUGUAUUUGAAUUUCACAAAAAGCUAUUAAUGAAUUCUGCCUUGGGAUUAGGGCAGAAUUUCCAUCAGUUUCUUAAACAAUAGCCCUUAACGAUAGUCUGACAUUCUGAACUAUGCAUUUGCAUGGACUCAUGUCCUUUGCAUUGAUGGUUAAAAAUAUCAAAAUAUCUACCAACUCUAAAAAACACAGAAGAUGCUUCUGUGCCCCGCAGAAGCAAGUAUUAAGCAAGAUCUAUUUCUUUCUGUGAAAUAAACACACCCAC